RNAcentral lists this ribosomal RNA (424 nucleotides) under uncultured bacterium. Its description in RNAcentral is "bacterial SSU rRNA". It matches the Rfam family "Bacterial small subunit ribosomal RNA", at positions 356 to 773 of the family's 1533-position model. The record is from RNAcentral.
AGGGAAUCUUCCGCAAUGGACGAAAGUCUGACGGAGCAACGCCGCGUGAGUGAUGAAGGUUUUCGGAUCGUAAAGCUCUGUUGCCAGGGAAGAACGUCCGUUAGAGUAACUGCUAACGGAGUGACGGUACCUGAGAAGAAAGCCCCGGCUAACUACGUGCCAGCAGCCGCGGUAAUACGUAGGGGGCGAGCGUUGUCCGGAAUUAUUGGGCGUAAAGCGCGCGCAGGCGGCUGUUGAAGUCUGGUGUUUAAUCCGUGGGCUCAACCCCGGGGCGCACUGGAAACUGGACAGCUUGAGUGCAGAAGAGGAGAGUGGAAUUCCACGUGUAGCGGUGAAAUGCGUAGAGAUGUGGAGGAACACCAGUGGCGAAGGCGACUCUCUGGGCUGUAACUGACGCUGAGGCGCGAAAGCGUGGGGAGCAAAC